GAGUAACACGUGGGCAACCUGCCUGAUAAGACUGGGAUAACUUCGGGAAACCGAAGCUAAUACCGGAUAGGAUCUUCUCCUUCAUGGGAGAUGAUUGAAAGAUGGUUUCGGCUAUCACUUACAGAUGGGCCCGCGGUGCAUUAGCUAGUUGGUGAGGUAACGGCUCACCAAGGCAACGAUGCAUAGCCGACCUGAGAGGGUGAUCGGCCACACUGGGACUGAGACACGGCCCAGACUCCUACGGGAGGCAGCAGUAGGGAAUCUUCCGCAAUGGACGAAAGUCUGACGGAGCAACGCCGCGUGAGUGAUGAAGGCUUUCGGGUCGUAAAACUCUGUUGUUAGGGAAGAACAAGUACGAGAGUAACUGCUCGUACCUUGACGGUACCUAACCAGAAAGCCACGGCUAACUACGUGCCAGCAGCCGCGGUAAUACGUAGGUGGCAAGCGUUAUCCGGAAUUAUUGGGCGUAAAGCGCGCGCAGGCGGUCUCUUAAGUCUGAUGUGAAAGCCCACGGCUCAACCGUGGA
Molecule: ribosomal RNA, 526 nt
Filed under: Priestia aryabhattai
Lineage: Bacteria; Bacillati; Bacillota; Bacilli; Caryophanales; Bacillaceae
Description: bacterial SSU rRNA
Rfam family: Bacterial small subunit ribosomal RNA
Source: RNAcentral